GUAACGCCUUCCUCAUACCCAUGGAGGACAGGCAUAUACUGCACAGUUCUAAUAUUGGUAUUUCUCCAUUAGGGAAUCUGUUCCCUUGGAUUUUUCCUUGGACCUUCCCUUUUUGGGUUCUCCCCUCAAUGUGUGGUUAGCUGUGUGGCUGCUCCAUCCCUGCAUCCCUGAAGGGAUCUUUUCAUUUCUGCAUGUUCUACACACUGGAGGUAUCACAAGAGUGAUACCUUUGGACUGUACAUGACCUGCACCGUAUAUUGAUAUUCCAUCCAGCAGUCAUUGGUUGGACACGCCUGGGAGUUCCGUGUAUGAUCACCACUGAGAUUAUAUAGUAUGCAUUCUUGUCCCUGAAGAAGCCCGAAGGGCGAAACAUGUUGGACCCCCUGCGUACAUCAUUCUGUCACCUCACUUUUGGUGAAAUAUAUCAUCUUAUGUGAUCAUGUUUUUAUUCUAUGUGUAUAUUUACAUGUCCAAUGUCAAUUAAAUUAUAUUUUUUAUCUA
Long non-coding RNA from Rana temporaria (common frog), 501 nucleotides. RefSeq lists it as uncharacterized. The record is from RefSeq and is a predicted model, not a curated record. Lineage: Eukaryota; Metazoa; Chordata; Amphibia; Anura; Ranidae. The transcript has 3 exons.